UCGGUUGAUCCUGCCGGAGGCUACCGCUAUUGGAGUUCGAUUAAGCCAUGCGAGUCCAGAGCUUUCGGAGCUCGGCGUACCGCUCAGUAACACGUGGGUAACCUAACCUAUGCAGGGGAAUAACCUCGGGAAACUGAGAAUAAUGCCCCAUAGUCCACUACGCCUGGAACGGUGAGUGGAUGAAAGCUCCGGCGGCAUAGGAUGGGCCUGCGGCGUAUCAGGUUGUAGGGGGUGUAACGUACCCUCUAGCCCUCUACGCGUACGGGUGUUGAGAGACAUCGCCCGGAGAUGGAUUCUGAGACACGAAUCCAGACCCUACGGGGUGCAGCAGGCGCGAAAACUUGGCAAUGCGAGAAAUCGUGACCAGGGAACUCCAAGUGCAUCGGGUAAGACCGAUGCUUUUCUAGACUCUAAAAAGGUCUUGGAAUAAGAGGUGGGUAAGGACGGUGCCAGCCGCCGCGGUAAUACCGGCGCCUCAAGUGGUAGUCGCUUUUAUUGGGCCUAAAACGUCCGUAGCCGGUCUGAUACAUUCGUGGGUAAAUCAACCAGCUUAACUGGUUGAAUUCUGCGAGGACGGUCAGACUUGGGACCGGGAGAGGUGUGGGGUACGCUCAGGGUAGGGGUAAAAUCCUGUCAUCCUGAGCGGACCACCUGUUGCGAAGGCGCCACACUAGAACGGAUCCGACGGUCAGGGACGAAGCCUAGGGGCACGAACCGGAUUAGAUACCCGGGUAGUCCUAGGUGUAAACGCUGUGGACUUGAUGUUGGGGGUGCUCCGAGCACUCUCAGUGUCGAAGCGAAGGUGAUAAGUCCACUGCCUGGGAAGUACGGUCGCAAGGCUGAAACUUAAAGGAAUUGGCGGGGGAGCACCGCAACCUGAGGAUUGUGCGGUUUAAUUGGAGUCAACGCCGG
This 912-nucleotide ribosomal RNA is filed under the name uncultured marine archaeon. Its description in RNAcentral is "bacterial SSU rRNA". It matches the Rfam family "Archaeal small subunit ribosomal RNA", at positions 4 to 921 of the family's 1478-position model. The record is from RNAcentral.